Molecule: ribosomal RNA, 492 nt
Filed under: uncultured bacterium
Lineage: Bacteria
Description: partial 16S ribosomal RNA
Rfam family: Bacterial small subunit ribosomal RNA
Source: RNAcentral
AGUGAACGCUGGCGGUAGGCCUAACACAUGCAAGUCGAACGGAAGCACAGUAAGAGCUUGCUCUUACGGGUGGCGAGUGGCGGGUGGUUGAGGGAUACCUCGGAGUCAACUUUUUCGAGGGGGAUAACGUAGGGAAACUUACGCUAAUACCGCAUACGACCUACGGGUGAAAGCAGGGGAUCUUCGGACCUUGCGCGAUUGAAUGAGCCGAUGUCGGAUUAGCUAGUUGGAGGGGUAAAGGCCCACCAAGGCGACGAUCCGUAGCUGGUCUGAGAGGAUGAUCAGCCACACUGGAACUGAGACACGGUCCAGACUCCUACGGGAGGCAGCAGUGGGGAAUAUUGGACAAUGGGCGCAAGCCUGAUCCAGCCAUGCCGCGUGGGUGAAGAAGGUCUUCGGGUUGUAAAGCCCUUUUAGUGGGAAAGAAAAGCAGCAGGUUAAUACCUCGCUGUUUUGACGUUACCCAAAGAAUAAGCACCGGCUAACUUCGUG